RNAcentral lists this transfer RNA (69 nucleotides) under Ictidomys tridecemlineatus (thirteen-lined ground squirrel). RNAcentral describes it as "Spermophilus tridecemlineatus (thirteen-lined ground squirrel) tRNA". It matches the Rfam family "tRNA". Rfam says of the family: Transfer RNA (tRNA) molecules are approximately 80 nucleotides in length. Their secondary structure includes four short double-helical elements and three loops (D, anti-codon, and T loops). Further hydrogen bonds mediate the characteristic L-shaped molecular structure. tRNAs have two regions of fundamental functional importance: the anti-codon, which is responsible for specific mRNA codon recognition, and the 3' end, to which the tRNAs corresponding amino acid is attached (by aminoacyl-tRNA synthetases). tRNAs cope with the degeneracy of the genetic code in two manners: having more than one tRNA (with a specific anti-codon) for a particular amino acid; and 'wobble' base-pairing, i.e. permitting non-standard base-pairing at the 3rd anti-codon position. Lineage: Eukaryota; Metazoa; Chordata; Mammalia; Rodentia; Sciuridae. The record is from Rfam by way of RNAcentral.
GGGGUUGUGGCUCAGCAGUAGAGCACUCGCCUCGCAUGUGUGAGGCCCCGAGUUCAAUCCUCAGCACCA